This 253-nucleotide ribosomal RNA is filed under the name uncultured bacterium. Its description in RNAcentral is "partial 16S ribosomal RNA". It matches the Rfam family "Bacterial small subunit ribosomal RNA", at positions 524 to 776 of the family's 1533-position model. The record is from RNAcentral.
UACAGAGGGUGCGAGCGUUAAUCGGAAUUACUGGGCGUAAAGCGUGCGCAGGCGGUUUUGUAAGCCAGAUGUGAAAUCCCCGGGCUUAACCUGGGAAUGGCAUUUGGGACUGCAAGGCUUGAGUGCGGCAGAGGAGACUAGAAUUCCUGGUGUAGCAGUGAAAUGCGUAGAUAUCAGGAGGAAUACCGAUGGCGAAGGCAGGUCUCUGGGCUGACACUGACGCUCAUGCACGAAAGCGUGGGGAGCAAACAGG